This 243-nucleotide unclassified non-coding RNA is filed under the name Hevea brasiliensis (rubber tree). The record is from RNAcentral. Lineage: Eukaryota; Viridiplantae; Streptophyta; Magnoliopsida; Malpighiales; Euphorbiaceae.
GCUUAGGCAACAAAUAGCUAGCUUACAAGCAAGUCGUGCUCAAAUGAGAGGCAUAGCAACUCAUACUCAGGCAAUGCAUGCCCAUUCUUCAGUUGCUGUUGGUUUGAAAAAUGCCACAAAAGCAAUGACAUCUAUGAAUAAGCAAAUGGCUCCUGCAAAGCAAGCAAAGGCUAUAAGGGAAUUUCAGAAGCAGUCAGCGCAGAUGGAUAUGACUACAGAAAUGAUGUCAGAAGCCAUAGAUGA